RNAcentral lists this ribosomal RNA (253 nucleotides) under uncultured bacterium. RNAcentral describes it as "partial 16S ribosomal RNA". It matches the Rfam family "Bacterial small subunit ribosomal RNA", at positions 524 to 776 of the family's 1533-position model. The record is from RNAcentral.
UACGUAGGGGGCAAGCGUUGUCCGGAAUCAUUGGGCGUAAAGCGCGUGUAGGCGGUUCGGUAAGUCUGCUGUGAAAGUCCAGGGCUCAACCCUGGGAUGCCGGUGGAUACUGUCGGACUAGAGUACGGAAGAGGCGAGUGGAAUUCCCGGUGUAGCGGUGAAAUGCGUAGAUAUCAGGAGGAACACCUGCGGUGUAGACGGCUUACUGGACCGCAACUGACGCUGAGACACGAAAGCGUGGGUAGCAAACAGG